RNAcentral lists this ribosomal RNA (253 nucleotides) under uncultured bacterium. RNAcentral describes it as "partial 16S ribosomal RNA". It matches the Rfam family "Bacterial small subunit ribosomal RNA", at positions 524 to 776 of the family's 1533-position model. The record is from RNAcentral.
CACGUAGGGCGCAAGCGUUGUCCGGAAUUAUUGGGCUUAAAGAGCUCGUAGGCGGUUUGUCGCGUCUGCUGUGAAAACGCGAGGCUCAACCUCGCGCCUGCAGUGGGUACGGGCAGACUAGAGUGCGGUAGGGGAGAUUGGAAUUCCUGGUGGAGCGGUGGAAUGCGCAGAUAUCAGGAGGAACACCGAUGGCGAAGGCAGAUCUCUGGGCCGAUACUGACGCUGAGGAGCGAAAGCGUGGGGAGCGAACAGG